Long non-coding RNA from Mastomys coucha (southern multimammate mouse), 257 nucleotides. RefSeq lists it as uncharacterized. The transcript has 2 exons. NCBI's taxonomy places the organism in Eukaryota, Metazoa, Chordata, Mammalia, Rodentia, Muridae. The record is from RefSeq and is a predicted model, not a curated record.
GCCUUGAGGACUUGGGAUUGAAUUCUGUCAGAAACUCAAGCAUGGAAUUUGAGUUUUCAGUGCUUCAGUUUUGUGAUCUGGGAAAUGAUUGAUGCUGCACACAGGCACUGAUGUCCUUGAGUCACUAGCCCCUUCUUGUCAUGCUAGGGGUCAUAGACUGCCAAAGAACCUUUUAAAAAUUUAAUUCCUUUUAAAAAAGAACUUUUAAAAGUGCAAUUUUUUGUGAGAAUUAAACUGUUAAUGGGCACAACCUAGAA